This 200-nucleotide long non-coding RNA is filed under the name Hordeum vulgare. RNAcentral describes it as "long non-coding RNA (HVUL_LNC021076)". The record is from RNAcentral. Lineage: Eukaryota; Viridiplantae; Streptophyta; Magnoliopsida; Poales; Poaceae.
UAAGUUCUCUAAUACCGGAUGUUAACAAAAUAUUCCAAGUUUCCACAUAACCGCGGGCACGGCUUUCCGAAAGAUUAAACCCUGCAGGGGUGCUCCAACCAGUCCAUCACAAACGAACACAGGCCGCAAAGGCAUCCUCUAUCACGAAUCUCGUGAUCUCGUCGGAUUCCUUAGAGGAAAACCUCAACUCUGGGGGAAAC